This 459-nucleotide ribosomal RNA is filed under the name uncultured bacterium. RNAcentral describes it as "bacterial SSU rRNA". It matches the Rfam family "Bacterial small subunit ribosomal RNA", at positions 342 to 791 of the family's 1533-position model. The record is from RNAcentral.
AGGGAGGCAGCAGUGAGGAAUAUUGGGCAAUGGGCGAAAGCCUGACCCAGCGACGCCGUGUGGGUGAUGAAGGCCUUCGGGUUGUAAAGCCCUGUUGGGUGGAAAGAAGGGCUUUUGGACGAAUAAUCCAGAAGUCUUGACGGUACCACCAGAGGAAGCACCGGCUAACUCCGUGCCAGCAGCCGCGGUAAUACGGAGGGUGCAAGCGUUGUUCGGAAUUACUGGGCGUAAAGGGCGCGUAGGUGGUUGUGUAAGUCAGAUGUGAAAUCCCGAGGCUCAACUUCGGAACUGCAUCUGAUACUGCAUGACUCGAGUGCAGCAGAGGGAAACGGAAUUCCUGGUGUAGAGGUGAAAUUCGUAGAUAUCAGGAGGAACACCGGUGGCGAAGGCGGUUUCCUGGGCUGACACUGACACUGAGGCGCGAAAGCGUGGGUAGCAAACAGGAUUAGAUACCCCGGU